CUCGGGCAUCAGCUGCGGGCAGAUCAGGUGCACGUGGCAAUCGAUGCCGCCGGCGGUGACGAUUUUCCCGUUGCCGCCGAUGAUUUCGGUGGACGGUCCGACCACCAGGUCCGGGUGCACGCCCGACAUGAUGUCGGGGUUUCCCGCCUUGCCGAUCGCGACGAUGCGGCCGUCGCGAAUCCCGAUGUCGGCCUUGAUGAUUCCCCAGUAGUCGAGGAUCACCGCGCCGGUGAUCACGGUGUCCGGCGCGCCGUCGGCCCGGCUGGCGCGCCCCUGGCCCAUCGAUUCGCGCAG
Mycobacterium sp. E787 is the source of this 294-nucleotide non-coding RNA. The record is from Rfam. NCBI's taxonomy places the organism in Bacteria, Bacillati, Actinomycetota, Actinomycetes, Mycobacteriales, Mycobacteriaceae.